RNAcentral lists this long non-coding RNA (439 nucleotides) under Parus major (Great Tit). RNAcentral's name for it is "lncRNA (ENSPMJG00000011659.1)". The record is from RNAcentral. Lineage: Eukaryota; Metazoa; Chordata; Aves; Passeriformes; Paridae.
CAACUUUUGCUAAGUGUAGUUCAAAUUCUGAUUUUCCUCCAGGUGGCAGGGGAGAUGAUAUGGAAUGAAGCAUUUUCAAAUAUAAGCCAAGAUUUCUCACAUCCACAUCAAUCUUAAUGUAGUUUUACCUAAUUGUUCUUGGAAGUCCAUGUAUACCAUGAAGCAUUUUCUUCAAACCAAAACAAUCUAGACUUCCUUCAGUUACAAGAGGAGUGACCUGCAGAGCAUCCAAGCAUGUACAUGAGCAGGAAAACACUAUAGAAUGCCUUGUCCAAGCUACUGUUGUAGUGGAGAAAAAGGAGAAGACAGUGCGAAGAAUAAGCAAGGUACUUUCCAUAGAAGACACAGGUUAAAUGAACAAAGAAGGAGUUUGUAUGAUAAACACAGGAUAAGCAUAUACUGCCCCAGAGAGGGAGAGGAUCGAAGAGCUCAGCUUUAG